RNAcentral lists this long non-coding RNA (395 nucleotides) under Rattus norvegicus (Norway rat). RNAcentral's name for it is "long non-coding RNA NONRATT030371". Lineage: Eukaryota; Metazoa; Chordata; Mammalia; Rodentia; Muridae. The record is from RNAcentral.
CCUAACAGUCCAAACUGAGAGAGCAGCUGGAAUGGCAGCUCGGUCAGGAUCGAGGGGAUGAGCGAGAGGGCCUGCGCCUCCGAGCCACUCGGGAGCUGCACCGGCACGCGGAUGGAGAUUCCGGGAGCCACGGGCUGGGAGGCCAGAGCUGUUUCAAUCUAGAGAUGGAGGAGGACCACCUCUACGCUCUGAGGUGGAAAGAGCUGGAGAUGCACAGCCUGGCCCUGCAGAACACCCUUCACAAGCGAACUUGGAGUGACGAGAAGAAUAUGCUGCAGCAGGAGCUCCGGUCCCUGAAGCAGAACAUUUUCCUCUUCUACGUCAAGCUCAGGUGGCUGCUGAAACACUGGCGCCAAGGGAAGCAGAUGGAGGAGGGAGGAGAGGAUUUCGCGGAG